AGCACACACACUGAAGGCUUGCUUGAGGCCAUCUCCUCACCUUGCUGGUUCUGCCUCAGGAGGGCUGAGCUGGAGCCCGAGACUCUACAUUUCUAAUGAGCUCCAGAUGAUAUCCCGCUGCUGAUCCGUGGACCACCCUUUGAGAUGUGAAGGUGAGGACAAGUUCAUGCCCUUUUUGGACAUCCUAGAACAAACGCUCUCCAGUGGAUUCAGAUAUUACCUGUCACAUGGACUCCUUUUGGGCAGUAUUGCAUCAUCCUGUUCCUCUGGAAACAUAAAUACCUACUUCUGUGUGUGAGACUCUGUGCUGGAUUUUCUGGGACAUCAAAGUCUCUGUUGUACGGCAGGGCCUCUGUCUUAGGAGCUUAUACUCAACACCUAAACAUGAAAAUGUAGGCAGCCAGUCAAAGGACCUAUUCUGAGUGCUAAAGGAGGGCUGUAGGCGGUGACUGAGAGGGAGACUCCAGGGUCUAUUCGAAAUUCUGUAGAGAACUUCAGUCCGCAUACUUCCUUUGAAACGUUGAGGAGUAACACAUGCUCCAGAUGCAGGGCUGCAUUAAUGAGUCUUCAGUUUUAAUGUGAGAGUCGUGUCUCUGUGUAUAAAUAUAUGCUCCCAUAGG
Molecule: long non-coding RNA, 620 nt
Filed under: Bos taurus (domestic cattle)
Lineage: Eukaryota; Metazoa; Chordata; Mammalia; Artiodactyla; Bovidae
Description: long non-coding RNA NONBTAT012125
Source: RNAcentral